GCAAGAGCACCAACCUGACCAGAUUAGCUGCUAAAAUUAUUGAAACCCAAACCCCAGAUUUUGACCAAAAGAUGAUUCUUCACGGUUGUAGUAGCAAUCAGAGUCACAGUUCGAGAGAAUUAAGCCAUGAAAUUCUCCACCAUCACAUCUCAUCUUCAAGUAAGCUUCUUUCUCUUCAUUCUCCUUCUGAAGCAAGGGUUUUUCCAGGGUUUAAUCACUUUCAUCACCGCAACUUUGCAAGUACACAAUAUUACUCUUUGCCCGCUGCCUUUCCUGUCGAGCCAAUCCUUCGUAGAAGAGUCGUUUGCUCAUUUCCCCAGAAGCAUAACCUUAAAGGAUGUAGGGUUUCUCUAGGGUUUAAGCUUCAGUGUCAUUCAAAAACUCUAACUUUACCCACGAAGAGUUCUUCGGUUAAUGGUAAAAAGAAGAGGUAUGGAGGUGUUUUGCCUUCAAUUUUACGAUCUUUCGAGUCCGAAAAUGAUAUUGAGAAAACCCUUAAUUCGUUUUGUGAGAGCUUGAGUCCAAAAGAACAGACUGUGAUUCUCAAGGAACAGAGAAAUUGGGGGAGAGUUGUUCGGGUUUUUGAGUUUUUUAAAUCGCAGAAAGAUUAUGUGCCAAAUGCUAUUCACUAUAAUAUUGUGCUUCGAGCGCUCGGCAGAGCUCAAAAAUGGGAUGAAUUAAGGCGUUGUUGGAUUGAAAUGGCAAAAGUUGGUGUUUUACCUACCAAUAACACGUAUGGAAUGCUUGUUGAUGUGUAUGGAAAGGCUGGUCUUGUUACUGAAGCGCUUUUGUGGAUUAAGCAUAUGAGACUUAGAGGGCUUUUCCCUGAUGAGGUUACAAUGAAUACAGUUGUUAGGGUUUUGAAAGAUGCAGGGGAGUUUGAUAGGGCACAUAGGUUUUAUGAAGACUGGUGUGGUGGGCGGAUUGAGUUGGAGGACCUUGAAUUUGAUGCUAUGAGUGAUUUCAAAAAUGGGUCUGGUUCUGUGCCAGUUAGCUUUAAGCAUUUUUUGUCAACUGAACUUUUCAAGAUAGGAGGGAGAAUUGUGGGGUCAUCAGAUGCUGAAAGUCUGGUUAGGAAGCCACGUCUAACAUCUACAUAUAAUACAUUGAUUGAUUUGUAUGGUAAGGCAGGGCGUCUCAGUGAUGCAGCUGAUGUCUUUGCAGAUAUGUUGAAAUCUGGGGUGGCAAUGGAUACCAUCACAUUUAAUACUAUGAUCUUUACUUGUGGAAGUCACGGUCAUUUGUCAGAAGCAGAGUCUUUGCUUAAUAAGAUGGAAGAAAGGGGAAUAACUCCUGAUACCAGAACUUAUAACAUCUUUCUAUCUUUAUAUGCAAGUGUAGGCAACAUUGAUGCAGCCAUCAAGUGUUAUAGGAAGAUUAGAGAGGUGGGUCUUUUCCCCGAUACUAUAACCUACCGAGCUAUUCUUCAUGAAUUAUCUGAGAGGAAUAUGGUGAAAGAAGCAGAGGCUAUAAUUGAAGAAAUGGACAAGUCUUCACAGCAUAUUGAUGAGCAUUCUUUGCCUGGUAUUAUGAAGAUGUAUAUUAACAAAGGAUUACUUGAUAGGGCAAAGAGCCUUUUCGAUAAUUGUCAGUUUGAGGGUGGAUUGUCAUCAGGGACUCGCGCGGCAAUUCUAGAUGCUUAUGCUGAAAAGGGGCUUUGGACUGAAGCUGAGGCUGUGUUUCACAGGAUGAGGGCAUUGGCUGGACAGAGGAGGGACAUUUUGGAGUAUAAUGUCAUGAUCAAAGCUUAUGGAAAGGGAAAGCUUUAUGAGAAAGCCUUUUCUCUGUUUAGAAGUAUGAGGAAUCAUGGGACUUGGCCUGAUGAGUGCACAUAUAAUUCUCUCAUCCAAAUGUUCUCUGGUGCUGAUUUGGUGGACCAAGCAAGGGACCUAUUAGGUGAAAUGAAAGGAGCAGGAUUUAAACCACUAUGUCUAACAUUCUCUUCCAUUAUUGCAUGCUAUGCCCGUCUGGGACAGCUUUCUGAUGCAGUUGAUGUCUACCAAGAAAUGGUUAGUGCAGGGGUAAAACCUAAUGAAGUUGUGUAUGGUGCUAUAAUUAAUGGAUAUGCAGAGGCUGGAAAAGUUGAAGAAGCUCUUGAAUAUUUCUGCAAGAUGGAAGAAUGUGGGAUUUCGGCAAAUCAAAUAGUUUUGACUUCCCUGAUUAAGGUUUAUAGCAAGCUGGGAUCCUUUGACAGUGCAAAACAAUUGUAUCAGAAGAUGAUGUGUUUGGAGGGUGGUCCGGAUAUCAUUGCAUCAAAUAGCAUGAUCAGUCUCUAUGCAGAACUUGGGAUGAUAUCAGAAGCUGAAUUGGUUUUCAAUAAUUUGAGAGAAAAGGGUUCAGCAGAUGGGGUUUCCUAUGCAACCAUGAUGUAUCUGUAUAAGAGCAUGGGCAUGCUCGAUGAAGCCAUUGAUGUUGCAGAGGAGAUGAAACAGUCGGAUUUGCUAAGGGACAAUAUGUCAUAUAACAAGGUAAUGGCAUGUUUUGCCUCUGAUGGUCAGCUGCUUGAGUGCGGUAAAUUGUUGCAUGAGAUGAUUGACCAGAAACUGUUGCCUGAUGAUGGAACCUUCAAAAUAUUAUUUACUGUGUUGAAGAAAGGAGGUCUUCCAACUGAAGCUGUAAUGCAGUUGGAGUCCUCCUAUCAGGAGGGAAAACCUUAUGCUAGACAAGCUAUCAUUACCUCUGUUUUUUCUGUAGUGGGUUUACAUGCUUUAGCACUCGAGUCCUGUGAGAUCUUCACAAAGGCAGAUGUAGCUCUUGAUUCCUUUGCCUAUAAUGUUGCAAUAUAUGCUUAUGGGUCAGCAGGGGAAAUCGACAAGGCUCUAAACACGUUCAUGAAAAUGCAGGAUGAGGGCCUUGAACCAGACCUUGUUACUUGUAUCAAUCUGGUUCAUUGUUAUGGAAAAGCUGGUAUGGUCGAAGGGGUGAAGAGGAUUUAUAGCCAAAUAAAAUAUGGAGAGAUCAAGCCCAAUGAUUCUUUAUUCAAGGCUGUUGUAGAUGCCUACAAAGAUGCCAAUAGGCCUGACCUGGUUGAAUUGGUUAACCAAGAGCUGAGGUUUGGUUUUGAUUCUCAACAAUUUUCUGACUACGAUUCUGAUUCACAACAAUAUUCUUUCGAUUUUGAAGCUGAAGAUGGGUCUGAUGGACAAUCGCCAGGCAUAUAGAGUCCAUAAAAUUUUUAUGUUUUAAGGAGAGAACUCGAAGGGAAAAAAAUUGAGAACAAGAAGAAAGGAGAAGAUGACAAGGUUCCUUUGUGUAAAUUGUACAGGGACAAUGCUGUGUCUCAGCAUUGAAGGUUUUUUGUAUGUAAUGUAUGACGCAAUAGCUAAAUUGAAAUGAUUUUAAUAGAGUUUAGGUUUCAGUAGAUCAUUGUAAAUAUAUACAUGGAGAUGCUCCUGUUAAUUUUAUAUCGUAUAUCAGUACCUAUUUUGGU
RNAcentral lists this unclassified non-coding RNA (3430 nucleotides) under Hevea brasiliensis (rubber tree). Lineage: Eukaryota; Viridiplantae; Streptophyta; Magnoliopsida; Malpighiales; Euphorbiaceae. The record is from RNAcentral.